UUAUCCGGAUUUAUUGGGUUUAAAGGGAGCGUAGGCGGGUGCUUAAGUCAGUUGUGAAAGUUUGCGGCUCAACCGUAAAAUUGCAGUUGAUACUGGGCGCCUUGAGUGCAGCAUAGGUAGGCGGAAUUCGUGGUGUAGCGGUGAAAUGCUUAGAUAUCACGAAGAACUCCGAUUGCGAAGGCAGCUUACUGGACUGUAACUGACGCUGAUGCUCGAAAGUGUGGGUAUCAAACAGGAUUGGAUACCCUGGUAGUCCACACAGUAAACGAUGAAUACUCGCUGUUGGCGAUACACAGUCAGCGGCCAAGCGAAAGCAUUAAGUAUUCCACCUGGGGAUACGCCGGCACACGGUGAA
RNAcentral lists this ribosomal RNA (355 nucleotides) under uncultured bacterium. RNAcentral describes it as "bacterial SSU rRNA". It matches the Rfam family "Bacterial small subunit ribosomal RNA", at positions 541 to 898 of the family's 1533-position model. The record is from RNAcentral.